Zophobas morio is the source of this 1490-nucleotide long non-coding RNA. RefSeq lists it as uncharacterized. The record is from RefSeq and is a predicted model, not a curated record. NCBI's taxonomy places the organism in Eukaryota, Metazoa, Arthropoda, Insecta, Coleoptera, Tenebrionidae. The transcript is spliced from 5 exons.
AACAAAAUUGUACUUCAAAAAACUGCCAAAAUUUUACUUAGGAAUAGUACAGGGUGACUCAUAGUAAAAAAUUAUUUAAUGGUGUGUUUUAGUUUGAAAAAACUUUUGAUUGUACCAUACACAUUUGGGAUAGAAUAUUAAAUUCUCUUGUUGAAAUGUUGUAGCAUACCUGAAGUACCUAGUAUAUUUUAUAUUAUUAUAGUAAACGGUGCUAAACUAAAAAAUAUGUCGUGACUGAAAUUAAUAGUAAUAUGCGAAAAAUCUAACCGGAAAGACCACACAAAACACUAAAAAGUACAGCCACAUUAAAGUGGAUAUUCGUUGUACCACUAAAGUUCGAAAAUAUAUUGAAAUAAUAAGAACAUUUGAAAAAAGAUAUGUUUUACCUAGACGAAAUAAAUGUUUUCACUAAUUUAAAUUUCGUGUGCUAUAAGUGCGAUAUUAACUUACCAUUUAAAAAUCCUUGUGUAAUUCUGCAUCGCUUCGUCACGUUUGCUGUGUUCUUUGGUUACAAAUUUGAAAAAGUUCGCUUAUUUGUAAAUAUUUAAAAAGAAAAAAUGAGAAUCUACACGAUAUACAUACUUUUUGAGAGAAGAGAGAGACAAAUUUUAAUUCAAAUUUAUUUUAAUUUUUAAUUUAAACAAAAAGAAUGGAAAAGUUAUCAAUGACAUAAAUUUGCAGUAACAAAUAAACUAAUUAUUAGAAUUGUGUUUUCUCCUUUCUUCAAUUAAGAAUAGGCAAUGCAUGGUACCGUUUGGUGUUAGCGCUUUACUGAAUACAUUUGUAACAAAAUUGACGAGAACAAAUGACAAUACUACGAUUAAGAACAGGAAAUAAUAAUUUAGUAUGAAUUCUUCAAAAACAUUUGAAUUCGCUAGUUGUACCAAAAGGAAUAUAUAGAGUCCCAGAAACAAAUAAAACGAAAUAUUGAAGAAUUCUAGCAAAGUUGCGAAUAUCAAUUAGCAUUCUUUAAGAAACACUUCUAAAUAUCAAAAGGAUAAUAAUAUGCUGACUUCCUGCGACGUUUACAAACUGAACUAUCCGAAACUGACAGAGUGGAACCGAUCCUACGGAUUUUUGCCUUUCUUUCAAUGGAAACUCACAACUCAAAAGGAUUUUUUUUUGUUCUGCGAAAAUGGACUUCCCAGCGAAUUUUCGCAGUUAUAUUCGAAGAAUUGGAAAAGAUUACCAAGAUAAAAAUGACAGUCUUUUCCCUGAAAUUUAACCACGACCUCCAAACACAGCCGUCUUCGUGACUUUUUGAAGAAAUCAUCACAGGAAUGGAAGGAUCAAAACGCUCCAUCAGUCUAUACCAGCAGCAAAUCAAACAGAAUUAAGUCCUGACCAGUCUGGAAAAAGGCCCAAACAAAAUGGAACAAAAAAAUACUGAGCCUAUAAUAAAAUUUGAUUACCAUAUUCAUAUUCUUAAAACAUAUGAUAUUGUUAUAAAUUAUACAAAUAAUGUUAAAAAUAAAUAAAUUUAUAAAUUU